RNAcentral lists this ribosomal RNA (468 nucleotides) under uncultured bacterium. RNAcentral's name for it is "partial 16S ribosomal RNA". It matches the Rfam family "Bacterial small subunit ribosomal RNA", at positions 28 to 507 of the family's 1533-position model. The record is from RNAcentral.
GACGAACGCUGGCGGCGUGCUUAACACAUGCAAGUCGAACGGAAAGGCCCUGCUUUUGUGGGGUGCUCGAGUGGCGAACGGGUGAGUAACACGUGAGUAACCUGCCCUUGACUUUGGGAUAACUUCAGGAAACUGGGGCUCAUACCGGAUAGGACCUCCUGCUGCAUGGUGGGGGUUGGAAAGUUUCGGCGGUUGGGGAUGGACUCGCGGCUUAUCAGCUUGUUGGUGGGGUAGUGGCUUACCAAGGCUUUGACGGGUAGCCGGCCUGAGAGGGUGACCGGCCACAUUGGGACUGGGAUACGGCCCAGACGCCUACGGGAGGCAGAAGUGGGGAAUAUUGCACAAUGGGCGGAAGCCUGAUGCAGCGACGCCGCGUGCGGGAUGACGGCCUUCGGGUUGUAAACCGCUUUCGCCGGUGACGAAGCGUGAGUGACGGUAAUGGGUAAAGAAGCACCGGCUAACUACGUG